RNAcentral lists this long non-coding RNA (543 nucleotides) under Anas platyrhynchos platyrhynchos (common mallard). RNAcentral's name for it is "lncRNA (ENSAPLG00000030524.1)". The record is from RNAcentral. Lineage: Eukaryota; Metazoa; Chordata; Aves; Anseriformes; Anatidae.
AUCUCUGUUUCAUUUUAAAAAUAAUACAUUAAGUUAUUCAAACCCAGAUAAAGAUGACAAAUUAUCUGUUCUUCAGAGGGAUUAGAUGGUCAGAGAGUAAUUACAUGCUUACACUGCUUACCAAAGUUAAAUAAAUACAUCACGAGAUACAUACUGUUCAUUAUGAGCACUGCCAGUGCGCGGUCUUCUGUGAGGAGAGCAGUGGGACUUGGACAUUUCCAUUCAAAGAGUUUUCAUAUCUUCUUUUGUUCCAGAAGUGGAGUAAGACAAUUAAGAUGUAAGGAACUAAUGUGCUAAUAUAGAAAACAGCAACAUGAAGUCUUAAGGUAAAUAUGCCAUGUGAAAAAACAAACAAACAACAACAACAAAGUUUCACUUUUCAAGGGGCUUAAUGUAUUGCUUUGUAUUUAUUGUAAUUCACAAACUAAUACUAAAGAUAUUAUUAAUAAUUAAUUAAACUAAUGUUUUCUGCUAUUUCUUCUUUACAACAUAAAAAAUGCAUAAAUAAUAUUUAUUUUUUUUCAUAACUACUCUAUAUUGACA